RNAcentral lists this transfer RNA (73 nucleotides) under Perca flavescens (yellow perch). It matches the Rfam family "tRNA". From Rfam's summary of the family: Transfer RNA (tRNA) molecules are approximately 80 nucleotides in length. Their secondary structure includes four short double-helical elements and three loops (D, anti-codon, and T loops). Further hydrogen bonds mediate the characteristic L-shaped molecular structure. tRNAs have two regions of fundamental functional importance: the anti-codon, which is responsible for specific mRNA codon recognition, and the 3' end, to which the tRNAs corresponding amino acid is attached (by aminoacyl-tRNA synthetases). tRNAs cope with the degeneracy of the genetic code in two manners: having more than one tRNA (with a specific anti-codon) for a particular amino acid; and 'wobble' base-pairing, i.e. permitting non-standard base-pairing at the 3rd anti-codon position. The record is from Rfam by way of RNAcentral. Lineage: Eukaryota; Metazoa; Chordata; Actinopteri; Perciformes; Percidae.
GGUUCCAUAGUGUAGAGGUUAUCAUGUCUGCUUUAUGUGCAGAAGGUCCUGGGCUCGAAACCCAGUGGAGCCA